GCCUGACUGGCUCAGUCAGUAGAGCAGGUGACUCUUGAUCUCAGGGUCAUGAGUUCAAGCCCCACGUUGGGCA
Molecule: transfer RNA, 73 nt
Filed under: Felis catus (domestic cat)
Lineage: Eukaryota; Metazoa; Chordata; Mammalia; Carnivora; Felidae
Also listed under: 6 other names
Rfam family: tRNA
About the family: Transfer RNA (tRNA) molecules are approximately 80 nucleotides in length. Their secondary structure includes four short double-helical elements and three loops (D, anti-codon, and T loops).
Source: Rfam by way of RNAcentral